Molecule: long non-coding RNA, 1003 nt
Filed under: Capsicum annuum
Lineage: Eukaryota; Viridiplantae; Streptophyta; Magnoliopsida; Solanales; Solanaceae
Description: long non-coding RNA (CANN_LNC006901)
Source: RNAcentral
UCCACUUUUCUUGCUUUGAUGAACUUUCUUGGAAAUAUUUUGAGCUCCAUGUGAGUUUAGGGGUUAUGGUAGUUGAGAUUGAUAGAAAGGACCACGCCAGGCAUGAUGCAGGUGAUUCCGUAUCCCUGUAUUUAACACAAAAAGAUUAUGAUGCUUCAAGUGAAGGAAUUGGUGCCUGAUUUCAACCGCAGUCGCAUUUGUUUUGGGAUGGCUCUCAGUGCUUCCAAAACCUCUGGAUGCAGAAUCUGCAGACUGUAUUAGAUAAGUAUUGCUUACCUGAAGCUCUGGGGUCUUUUCUCCGGAAGCUGUAUCAAGUGAUAGAUUAAAUUUACACACCUUAGUUUCAUUCUGCUGCAUUAAAUUAUGCUUCUUGUUAUAGUUGUCACAUUGGAUCGAGGAAAGAGGAUUGACAUGUUUUGCUAACAUCAUAUAUAACACAGAGAAACAGCUCCUUUAUACAAUUUUUUGACUGGGUAAUUUUUUUUAUUAAUGUUGGGAACAACUCUCUUUUAGUAGUAUACCGAAAAGUAUCGAACCUAAAAAAGAUAUGAUUCUCUACAAAAAAAUUAACCAAUUAGAUGGUCAAAUUAAAGUAAACAGCGUAGAAAGGUUAGGUGUUGUUUCCUCAGCUCAUCAGUGCCAGAUGUUGACUGAUUUGCCCAAUUUUUUGUGUUCUUGAGCCCUAAAAGAAAACUAGAUCUGUGAAAAGGUCGUAGUAAGAUCACUUCUUUCCGGGGUUGUGGUGAGGUGUACAUCCCAUCAUCUGCAUGACUGACUUGCUCAGAUUCACAAACUACAAGCUGAAGAAUUUCUUCAACGGAUUGAAUCAUAGCAUCAGUGAGAGGUUUUGACAAUUGAUUGAUUCACUCCAAGCUAGGUAGUUCCUGGUUAAUCUGACUCAUGGAGCUGCUGGGUGGGAGUCCCUAUUUUGCUUCAUCGAUUUCUCCAAGGAAGAAGAUGAACAGUGAGUUGGGAGAGGAAACGAUGGGUGAUCGGACUUGGA